GCCGGCGUAGCUCAGUGGUAGAGCGACCGCCUUGUAAGCGGUAGGUCGUGGGUUCGAAUCCCACCGCCGGCUC
This 73-nucleotide transfer RNA is filed under the name bacterium HR35. RNAcentral's name for it is "tRNA-Thr". It matches the Rfam family "tRNA". From Rfam's summary of the family: Transfer RNA (tRNA) molecules are approximately 80 nucleotides in length. The record is from RNAcentral.